Molecule: ribosomal RNA, 1535 nt
Filed under: uncultured bacterium
Lineage: Bacteria
Description: bacterial SSU rRNA
Rfam family: Bacterial small subunit ribosomal RNA
Source: RNAcentral
GAGAGUUUGAUUAUGGCUCAGGAUGAACGCUAGCGAUAGGCUUAACACAUGCAAGUCGAGGGGCAGCAUGGUCUUAGCUUGCUAAGACUGAUGGCGACCGGCGCACGGGUGCGUAACGCGUAUGCAACUUGCCUCACAGAGGGGGAUAACCCGUCGAAAGACGGACUAAUACCGCGUACACUUGGGUUGGGGCAUCCCGAUCCAAGGAAAUGAAAUUCGCUGUGAGAUAGGCAUGCGUCCCAUUAGCUAGUUGGUGAGGUAACGGCUCACCAAGGCAACGAUGGGUAGGGGAACUGAGAGGUUGAACCCCCACACUGGUACUGAGACACGGACCAGACUCCUACGGGAGACAGCAGUGAGGAAUAUUGGUCAAUGGGCGAGAGCCUGAACCAGCCAAGUCGCGUGAAGGAUGACUGUCUUAUGGAUUGUAAACUUCUUUUGUAGGGGAAUAAAGAGGGGCACGUGUGCCUCAGUGAAUGUACCCUACGAAUAAGCAUCGGCUAACUCCGUGCCAGCAGCCGCGGUAAUACGGAGGAUGCGAGCGUUAUCCGGAUUUAUUGGGUUUAAAGGGUGCGUAGGCGGCCUGUUAAGUCAGCGGUGAAAUCUAGGAUCUUAACUCCUCAAUUGCCUUUGAAACUGGCGGGCUUGAGUGCAGAUGAGGUAAGCGGAAUGCCUGGUGUAGCGGUGGAAUGCAUAGAUAUCAGGCAGAACUCCRAUKGCGAAGGCGGCUAACUAAAGURCAACUGACGCUGAAGCGCGAAAGCGUGGGGAGCAAACGGGAUUAGAUACCCUGGUAGUCCACACUGUAAACGAUGAAUGCUAGGUGUAGGUGGUAUCGACCCCAUCUGUGCCGUCGUAAACACAUUAAGCUAUCCGCCUGGGGAGUACGGUCGCAAGAUUAAAACUCAAAGGAAUUGACGGGGGCCCGCACAAGCAGCGGAGCAUGUGGUUUAAUUCGAAGCAACGCGAAGAACCUUACCAGGUCUUGACAUCCGCUUUAGGCAUGUAGAGAUAUAUGUGGAACUUCGGUUCAAAGCGAGACAGGUGGUGCAUGGUUGUCGUCAGCUCGUGUCGUGAGAUGUUGGGUUAAGUCCCGCAACGAGCGCAACCCUUGCCAAUAGUUACUAACGGGUAGAGCUGAGGACUCUAUUGGGACUGCCGUGGACAACACGGAGGAAGGUGGGGACGACGUCAAAUCAUCAUGCCCCUUAUGACCUGGGCUACACACGUGCUACGAUGGUCGCAACAAAGAGGCGCAAAGCCGCAAGGCGGAGCAGAUCUCAAAAAAGCGAUCUCAGUUCAGAUUGUGGGCUGCAACCCGCCCACAUGAAGUCGGAGUUGCUAGUAAUCGCGAAUCAGCAUGUCGCGGUGAAUACGUUCCCGGGCCUUGUACACACCGCCCGUCACACCAUGGGAGUUGAUAGCGCCCGAAGGCAGAGAGGUAACCGCAAGGAGCCAUCUGACGAAGGCGAGAUUAAUGACUGGGGUGAAGUCGUAACAAGGUAGCCGUAUCGGAAGGUGCGGCUGGAACACCU